Molecule: ribosomal RNA, 465 nt
Filed under: Vreelandella stevensii
Lineage: Bacteria; Pseudomonadati; Pseudomonadota; Gammaproteobacteria; Oceanospirillales; Halomonadaceae
Description: partial 16S ribosomal RNA
Rfam family: Bacterial small subunit ribosomal RNA
Source: RNAcentral
CCUACGGGAGGCAGCAGUGGGGAAUAUUGGACAAUGGGCGAAAGCCUGAUCCAGCCAUGCCGCGUGUGUGAAGAAGGCCUUCGGGUUGUAAAGCACUUUCAGUGGGGAAGAAAGCCUUGGGGCUAAUACCCUCGAGGAAGGACAUCACCCACAGAAGAAGCACCGGCUAACUCCGUGCCAGCAGCCGCGGUAAUACGGAGGGUGCGAGCGUUAAUCGGAAUUACUGGGCGUAAAGCGCGCGUAGGCGGUCUGAUAAGCCGGUUGUGAAAGCCCCGGGCUCAACCUGGGAACGGCAUCCGGAACUGUCAGGAUAGAGUGCAGGAGAGGAAGGUAGAAUUCCCGGUGUAGCGGUGAAAUGCGUAGAGAUCGGGAGGAAUACCAGUGGCGAAGGCGGCCUUCUGGACUGACACUGACGCUGAGGUGCGAAAGCGUGGGUAGCAAACAGGAUUAGAUACCCGAGUAGUC